Molecule: long non-coding RNA, 2555 nt
Filed under: Nicotiana tabacum (common tobacco)
Lineage: Eukaryota; Viridiplantae; Streptophyta; Magnoliopsida; Solanales; Solanaceae
Description: long non-coding RNA (NTAB_LNC012517)
Source: RNAcentral
UUAUUUCCGACUACAGUAGUCGGAACAUAAUCACAUAUUAUUUUGGGUCCAAACCCUUAUUUUUUUAAUUAUCUUUUCCUUUCCCACACUUCUCACUUCUCUCUCACUGCUCACGUUUCUCCUCUCUUCCAGCGGCGUCUGCAGUGGCUUUGACUGGACGACGACAACGCAGGUGUGUCUCUCUCUCCGUCACAUUUUAAAUAUUCCUAUAAAAAAAUGCAAAACAGAACAAAGAGGUUUCAAUCACAGAAUACAAACAUAGUUAAAAUAUGUAGGCAGUUUAAUUAAUGUUUAUGUAUCUCGUGGAUUUCUUAACGAACUAAAUCUGCAAUUGAUCUAAUUUUGAGUUCGGCCUUUCUUUGUUUUUAUCUUCCACAAUUUUGGUUUCGGCUUUUAUUCAUUAAGUCGCAAGUUAAUUUCUAAACUAUGAUUAAAUUCAAAUUCAAGGAUUUUAGUGGUGGGAGGGUGGGGUAAAUGUGGGGGUGACUAAUAAGCAAAACAUAAGAUGGACAGAUUUUGGUUUGAGGUUUUUGGCUUUUCCUCAGUGAAAACUUUUUGCACUUUUCAUGGCUCUAAUGGGUUUUCAACCCUUUUUACUGUUAUUCAAUUCUAAUUGGUACACUUUUACUGGAUUCAUUUACUCGUCAUACAAUUAAUCAUAAGUCCAUUUCAACACAAAUUGUAUUUGACUAAUCCUAAAACAAAAGGAGGGCAAACGAUUAGAUUAAUUGAACCUUUGAAAAGGUUGUGAGACUCGAUAAGUCGUUUUGAUGAGGGGUUAUUAAUACAAUAUCGGUAUGUCAUAUCUUUGUGGAAUGUGUUUUUUUAAUCUUCUAUAAGAUAUUAUCCAUUAUAAAAUGGAAUCAGAUAUGUGUUGUUUAUGUUUCUUGGUGAUUUGUGUUUUUAAAACUUUUUGUCGCCUUUUAUGUAGAUUUGUAUUUUUUUAAAAUGAAAUAGGGGACAUAUCUGCCAUUUGGUUUAUUUUAAUGACUACUUUUUGACAUAGAUAUAAUUUUUCUCCAAUUCCACCAAAUUUUUUAGUGUUACCUUUUUCUCCUGUAUGAUUAAGAUUUUCUUAUAAGAUGCCAAUAUUUUCUAGAACUCAAAAGCAAAGCAUGCACAUACCCCUAAGAUUCUGAUUUUGAUUAACCUAUUAGAAUGACUAAUAUAAAUACUUGAUAAAGAAGUGCCUAUAAUUAUGUGGAAGGAUUGAAAUUGCAAUGUAUCCUUACAGUCAUGUGUUUCAUCUUGCGUUGCGAUCCCAUUAUGGUGAUUAAUUGGUAUAAACACUGGGCAUGGGUAAUCCUAGUUAUUUUGGAAUACAAGAAAAUGAAUAACGGGAGUAAAUUUUAAGCAACUUUGAGCUACAUUGUGUAUUAAGAGUCUGUUUACUAAAAGUUAUUCUUUUGAGUUACUUCACAUAUUAUUACGAUUACAGAAAACUCAACUAUAUAUUAGCGCUAUUUUUGAAAGCACAGAGUGAGAAUUUUUUUGGAAGGGGUAAACUUAUUAGGCAAUAUGGAAAGUGAGGCAAGUUAUGGUUUUUGCUACCUGAAGUAACCUAGAAUAGCUAAUUAGACAACUUAAUGGUUUUUUCUAUAUGGGUGUGUGUGUGUGUUUAUUUGACUCGACUUUUAUAUAUAAAAGCUAAAAAUUUCUUAUUUAUACCUAGUCAUGAUUUGCAUUAUCUAUAAUUGCAAUCUAUAUAUCUAGUAACAUACCCUUCCAAUGGAUCUAACAUCUGUUACAAAUCUUUUUAUGCCUUUGGCAGUAUUUACUUCCUUAACUUACCUAAUGUUGCCCCGCAAUGUGAAAUUGGACAGCUAAUUAUUCAUAUUGCAGCAAAUAAAGGCUAAAGGUGAAUUCUAAGUUCAAAGUGUGUAGCCUAUGUUGCUCAAUAUGCAUUGCAAUUAUUAAUCUCAAAUUUGUGCAUGUUUGUUCUUGAAAGACUAUUUUAGGGAUUGAUCUGGUAUCUUUUAGCUCUGUUUUUGAUGAUUUAAGUCUAUCCAAAAGAAAAACAUGCCUAGUUAUGUUCUUGUAAGGCACUAUACCUCUGUUGAAAUUCAUGAAUGAGUGUAUAUUUGUAUGAAUGUCCUCUACCAACUCUCUUGACAUUUUAAGAUGACUAAGAAUGACAUUCCAUAACCUGAAAACAUCCUUGAUAUAGUAAACAUGUUAACAAUUUUUAUUAUGUGACUCUCCCUUUGAUCUUAUUGGUUCUGGAUUGACUUUGAAAAAACAAAAGAGCAUAUGGUUCUGUCCACUAUCAAUUCCAGCUUUAUUACACAGCUCUCCACAUCAUUUCUUGAGCUCAGUCAGAAUAAUUCUGGAUAUAGUAACUUCUGUUUGAAAAUGUUGAUAUGAAAUUUACCUACAUAUUUAUUUGGUGUCACUUUUUAUUCUACGUUCACUCAUACAUGCCAUCUUGAUUUUGUAGAAGACUGAAAGAGUACAAAGGUUGAUAAUUAAAGAAAGGCUGUCACUGCUGGUUCAUCCUCCAUUUCGACUUUUGCCUUUUGGUUUCGUCCUUGUUGCGACAGGUAUAUAUAUAUAUA